CUACGGGUGGCACCAGUGGGGAAUAUUGCACAAUGGAGGAAACUCUGAUGCAGCAACGCCGCGUGGAGGAUGACACUUUUCGGAGCGUAAACUCCUUUUAUAUAGGAAGAAGAUGACGGUACUAUAUGAAUAAGCGCCGGCUAACUCCGUGCCAGCAGCCGCGGUAAUACGGAGGGCGCAAGCGUUACUCGGAAUCACUGGGCGUAAAGAGCGUGUAGGCGGAUUAAAAAGUCAGAAGUGAAAUCCUAUAGCUUAACUAUAGAACUGCUUCUGAAACUCUUAAUCUAGAAUAUGGGAGAGGUAGAUGGAAUUUCUGGUGUAGGGGUAAAAUCCGUAGAGAUCAGAAGGAGUACCGAUUGCGAAGGCGAUCUACUAGAACAUUAUUGACGCUGAGACGCGAAAGCGUGGGGAGCAGACAGGAUUAGAUACCCCAGUAGUC
This 439-nucleotide ribosomal RNA is filed under the name uncultured bacterium. RNAcentral's name for it is "partial 16S ribosomal RNA". It matches the Rfam family "Bacterial small subunit ribosomal RNA", at positions 339 to 795 of the family's 1533-position model. The record is from RNAcentral.